UGGGGAAUUUUGGACAAUGGGGGAAACCCUGAUCCAGCCAUCCCGCGUGUGCGAUGAAGGCCUUCGGGUUGUAAAGCACUUUUGGCAGGAAAGAAACGUCAUGGGUUAAUACCCCGUGAAACUGACGGUACCUGCAGAAUAAGCACCGGCUAACUACGUGCCAGCAGCCGCGGCAAUACGUAGGGUGCAAGCGUUAAUCGGAAUUACUGGGCGUAAAGCGUGCGCAGGCGGUUCGGAAAGAAAGAUGUGAAAUCCCAGAGCUCAACUUUGGAACUGCAUUUUUAACUACCGGGCUAGAGUGUGUCAGAGGGAGGUGGAAUUCCGCGUGUAGCAGUGAAAUGCGUAGAUAUGCGGAGGAACACCGAUGGCGAAGGCAGCCUCCUGGGAUAACACUGACGCUCAUGCACGAAAGCGUGGGGAGCAAACAGG
Molecule: ribosomal RNA, 429 nt
Filed under: Acidobacteriota bacterium
Lineage: Bacteria; Pseudomonadati; Acidobacteriota
Description: Acidobacteria bacterium partial 16S ribosomal RNA
Rfam family: Bacterial small subunit ribosomal RNA
Source: RNAcentral